Non-coding RNA from Cinara cedri, 220 nucleotides. Lineage: Eukaryota; Metazoa; Arthropoda; Insecta; Hemiptera; Aphididae. The record is from the annotation of a GenBank genome assembly.
UUGCCCUUUAAAAUAGCAAUCGAAUAAAAAGGUAGAUAUUGUAUGCUGGCCGAUAUUGAGAGUAUCGGAAUAUUGGAUAUCGAGUUUUUUUGUUUUAUCAAAAUCGAUAUUUGACUAUAGUGCAAGUAUCUCUGAAAUAAAGAAAAAGUAUUUAAAAUAUCGAUCAAUUAAUUUCAUCAACAACUCACGGUUUUCAGAUAUCGGAUCGGGCAUCGGCUUU